This 468-nucleotide ribosomal RNA is filed under the name uncultured bacterium. Its description in RNAcentral is "partial 16S ribosomal RNA". It matches the Rfam family "Bacterial small subunit ribosomal RNA", at positions 28 to 507 of the family's 1533-position model. The record is from RNAcentral.
GACGAACGCUGGCGGCGUGCUUAACACAUGCAAGUCGAACGGAAAGGCCCUGCCUUUGUGGGGUGCUCGAGUGGCGAACGGGUGAGUAACACGUGAGUAACCUGCCCCUGACUUUGGGAUAACCUCUGGAAACUGCGGCUAAUACCGGAUAGGAGCUCCUGCUGCAUGGUGGGCGUUGGAAAGUUUCGGCGGUUGGGGAUGGACUCGCGGCUUAUCAGCUUGUUGGUGGGGUAGUGGCUUACCAAGGCUUUGACGGGUAGCCGGCCUGAGAGGGUGACCGGCCACAUUGGGACUGAGAUACGGCCCAGACUCCUACGGGAGGCAGCAGUGGGGAAUAUUGCACAAUGGGCGGAAGCCUGAUGCAGCAACGCCGCGUGCGGGAUGACGGCCUUCGGGUUGUAAACCGCUUUCGCCUGUGACGAAGCGUGAGUGACGGUAAUGGGUAAAGAAGCACCGGCUAACUACGUG